Mycena vulgaris is the source of this 92-nucleotide non-coding RNA. The record is from the annotation of a GenBank genome assembly. NCBI's taxonomy places the organism in Eukaryota, Fungi, Basidiomycota, Agaricomycetes, Agaricales, Mycenaceae.
GCGGACGUAGUGCACGGCGCACCAUUGCCUUCUAUCGAGAAGUACGUUGCCAGAUGCAAGCAGUUGACGGGGUUCGACUCCCCGCGUCCGCC